This 25-nucleotide non-coding RNA is filed under the name Cricetulus griseus (Chinese hamster). The record is from RNAcentral. Lineage: Eukaryota; Metazoa; Chordata; Mammalia; Rodentia; Cricetidae.
ACAGACUGGAUAGAAGCUGGGAGCA